GAUGAACGCUGGCGGCGUGCCUAAUACAUGCAAGUCGAGCGAACAGACGAGGAGCUUGCUCCUCUGACGUUAGCGGCGGACGGGUGAGUAACACGUGGAUAACCUACCUAUAAGACUGGGAUAACUUCGGGAAACCGGAGCUAAUACCGGAUAAUAUAUUGAACCGCAUGGUUCAAUAGUGAAAGACGGUUUUGCUGUCACUUAUCGAUGGUUCCGCGCCGCAUUAGCUAGUUGGUAAGGUAACGGCUUACCAAGGCAACGAUGCGUAGCCGACCUGAGAGGGUGAUCGGCCACACGGGAACUGAGACACGGUCCAGACUCCUACGGGAGGCAGCAGUAGGGAAUCUUCCGCAAUGGGCGAAAGCCUGACGGAGCAACGCCGCGUGAGUGAUGAAGGUCUUCGGAUCGUAAAACUCUGUUAUUAGGGAAGAACAAAUGUGUAAGUAACUAUGCACGUCUUGACGGUACCUAAUCAGAAAGCCACGGCUAACUACGUG
RNAcentral lists this ribosomal RNA (497 nucleotides) under uncultured bacterium. RNAcentral describes it as "partial 16S ribosomal RNA". It matches the Rfam family "Bacterial small subunit ribosomal RNA", at positions 28 to 507 of the family's 1533-position model. The record is from RNAcentral.